Molecule: ribosomal RNA, 894 nt
Filed under: uncultured sediment archaeon
Lineage: Archaea
Description: bacterial SSU rRNA
Rfam family: Archaeal small subunit ribosomal RNA
Source: RNAcentral
CGGUUGAUCCUGCCGGACCCUACUGCUAUCGGGGUGGGACUAGACAUGCGAGUCGAGCGUCUCUAGCUAUGUGAGACGCGGCAUACGGCUCAGUAACACGUGGCUAACCUACCCUCAGGACGGGGACAAACCCGGGAAACUGGGGCUAAUAUCCGAUAGGCGAGGAAUCCUGGAAUGGUUCUUCACCCAAAGGACAUUGGAAACAUGCUUUCUCUGUCGCCUGGGGAUGGGGCCGCGACCGAUCAGGUUGUUGGUGAGGUAAUGGCUCACCAAGCCUUUAACCGGUACGGGCCAUGAGAGUGGUAGCCCGGAGAUGGGUACUGAGACAAGGACCCAGGCCCUACGGGGCGCAGCAGUCGCGAAAACUCCGCAAUGCACGAAAGUGUGACGGGGCUACCCCGAGUGCCGUCCGCUGAGGAUGGCUUUUCCUUGGUGUAACUAGCCGGGGGAAUAAGGAGAGGGCAAGACUGGUGUCAGCCGCCGCGGUAAUACCAGCUCUCCGAGUGGUAGGGAUGAUUAUUGGGCUUAAAGCGUCCGUAGCCGGCUUAGCAAGUUUCCUGUUAAAUUCAGCGACCUAAUCGUUGAGCCGCGGGAAAUACUACUAGGCUAGGAGGCGGGAGAGGUCGACGGUACUUCUGGGGUAGGGGUGAAAUCCUAUAAUCCCGGGAGGACCACCAGUGGCGAAGGCUGUCGACUAGAACGCGCUCGACGGUGAGGGACGAAAGCUGGGGGAGCGAACCGGAUUAGAUACCCGGGUAGUCCCAGCUGUAAACGAUGCGGGCUAGGUGUUGGGGUGGCUACGUGCCACUUCAGUGCCGCAGGGAAACCAUUAAGCCCGCCGCCUGAGGAGUACGGCCGCAAGGCUGAAACUUAAAGGAAUUGGCGGGGGAGCAC